Molecule: ribosomal RNA, 253 nt
Filed under: uncultured bacterium
Lineage: Bacteria
Description: partial 16S ribosomal RNA
Rfam family: Bacterial small subunit ribosomal RNA
Source: RNAcentral
UACGUAGGGGGCAAGCGUUGUCCGGAUUUAUUGGGCGUAAAGAGCGUGUAGGCGGCCAGGUAGGUCCGUUGUGAAAACUGGAGGCUUAACCUCCAGCUGUCGAUGGAAACCAUCUGGCUAGAGUCCGGAAGAGGAGAAUGGAAUUCCUGGUGUAGCGGUGAAAUGCGCAGAUAUCAGGAAGAACACCCGUGGCGAAGGCGGCUCUCUGGGACGUGACUGACGCUGAGACGCGAAAGCGUGGGGAGCAAACAGG